This 492-nucleotide ribosomal RNA is filed under the name uncultured bacterium. Its description in RNAcentral is "partial 16S ribosomal RNA". It matches the Rfam family "Bacterial small subunit ribosomal RNA", at positions 29 to 507 of the family's 1533-position model. The record is from RNAcentral.
AGUGAACGCGGGCGGUAAGCCUAACACAUGCAAGUCGAACGGCAGCACAGUAAGAGCUUGCUCUUACGGGUGGCGAGUGGCGGACGGGUGAGGAAUACAUCGGAAUCUACUUUUUCGUGGGGGAUAACGUAGGGAAACUUACGCUAAUACCGCAUACGACCUACGGGUGAAAGCAGGGGAUCUUCGGACCUUGCGCGAUUGAAUGAGCCGAUGUCGGAUUAGCUAGUUGGCGGGGUAAAGGCCCACCAAGGCGACGAUCCGUAGCUGGUCUGAGAGGAUGAUCAGCCACACUGGAACUGAGACACGGUCCUGACUCCUACGGGAGGCAGCAGUGGGCAAUAUUGGACAAUGGGCGCAAGCCUGCUCCAGCCAUACCGCGUCGUUGACGAAGGCCUUCGGGUUGUACAGCCCUUUUGUUGGGCAAGAAAAGCAGCAGGUUAAUACCCCGCUGUUCUGACGGUACCCAAAGAAUAAGCACCGGCUAACUUCGUG